RNAcentral lists this ribosomal RNA (258 nucleotides) under uncultured bacterium. RNAcentral describes it as "partial 16S ribosomal RNA". It matches the Rfam family "Bacterial small subunit ribosomal RNA", at positions 75 to 334 of the family's 1533-position model. The record is from RNAcentral.
CUUGCUUUCUUUGCUGGCGACCGGCGCACGGGUGAGUAACACGUAUCCAACCUGCCCUUUACUCGGGGAUAGCCUUUCGAAAGAAAGAUUAAUACCCGAUAGCAUAAUGAUUCCGCAUGGUUUCAUUAUUAAAGGAUUCCGGUAAAGGAGGGGGAUGCGUUCCAUUAGGUUGUUGGUGAGGUAACGGCCCACCAAGCCUUCGAUGGAUAGGGGUUCUGAGAGGAAGGUCCCCCACAUUGGAACUGAGACACGGUCCAA